RNAcentral lists this ribosomal RNA (311 nucleotides) under uncultured bacterium. Its description in RNAcentral is "bacterial SSU rRNA". It matches the Rfam family "Bacterial small subunit ribosomal RNA", at positions 29 to 334 of the family's 1533-position model. The record is from RNAcentral.
AACGAACGCUGGCGGCAUGCUUAAUACAUGCAAGUCGAACGAGAAAGUACCUUCGGGUGCGAGUAUAGUGGCGCACGGGUGAGUAACACGUAGGUGACCUGCCUUUUAGUUCGGAAUAACCAGUGGAAACGCUGGCUAAUACCGGAUGUUCAUGUUUUUUGAAGAGUGACAUGCAAAGAGGGCUUCGGCUCUCGCUAGAAGAUGGGCCUGCGGGGCAUCAGCUUGUUGGUGGGGUAACGGCCUACCAAGGCGAUGAUGUCUAGCUGGUCUGAGAGGAUGAUCAGCCACACUGGAACUGAGACACGGUCCAG